AUGCAAGUCGAACGCAGUAGCAAUACUGAGUGGCAGACGGGUGAGUAUAAUGUGGGUAUCUACCUUUUGGUUUGGAAUAACUUGGGGAAACUCGAGCUAAUACCGGAUAAGCCCUUACGGGGAAAGCUUUAUGCGCCGAGAGAUGAGCCCGCACUUGAUUAGCUUGUUGGUGAGGUAAAGGCUCACCAAGGCAACGAUCAAUAGCUGUUCUUAGAGGAAGACCAGCCACAUUGGGACUGAGACACGGCCCAGACUCCUACGGGAGGCAGCAGUAGGGAAUCUUGCACAAUGGGGGAAACCCUGAUGCAGCGAUGCCGCGUGAGUGAAGAAGGCCUUUGGGUUGUAAAACUCUUUCGUCGGGGAAGAAAAUGACGGUACCCGAAUAAGAAGGUCCGGCUAACUUCGUGCCAGCAGCCGCGGUAAUACGAAGGGAUCUAGCGUAGUUCGGAAUUACUGGGCUUAAAGAGCUCGUAGGUGGUUAAAAAAGUUGAUGGUGAAAUCCCAAGGCUUAACCUUGGAACUGCCCUCAAAACUUUUUAGCUAGAGUAUGAUAGAGGAAAGUGGAAUUUCUAGUGUAGAGGUGAAAUUCGUAGAUAUUAGAAAGAACACCAAAUGCGAAGGCAACUUUCUGGAUCAUUACUGACACUGAGGAGCGAAAGCAUGGGUAGCGAAGAGGAUUAGAUACCCUCGUAGUCCAUGCUGUAAACGAUGUGUGCUAGACGUUGGAAACAUAGUUUUCAGUGUCGCAGCGAAAGCAUUAAGCACACCGCCUGGGGAGUACGACCGCAAGGUUAAAACUCAAAUGAAUUGACGGGGACCCGCACAAGCAGUGGAGCAUGUGGUUUAAUUCGAAGAUACGCGCAGAACCUUACCAACACUUGACAUGUUCGUCGCGACUCUAGAGAUUAGAGUUUUC
This 916-nucleotide ribosomal RNA is filed under the name uncultured marine bacterium. RNAcentral's name for it is "bacterial SSU rRNA". It matches the Rfam family "Bacterial small subunit ribosomal RNA", at positions 55 to 1016 of the family's 1533-position model. The record is from RNAcentral.